Molecule: ribosomal RNA, 467 nt
Filed under: uncultured bacterium
Lineage: Bacteria
Description: partial 16S ribosomal RNA
Rfam family: Bacterial small subunit ribosomal RNA
Source: RNAcentral
GACGAACGCUGGCGGCGUGCUUAACACAUGCAAGUCGAACGGAAAGGCCCUGCUUUUGUGGGGUGCUCGAGUGGCGAACGGGUGAGUAACACGUGAGUAACCUGCCCUUGACUUUGGGAUAACUUCAGGAAACUGGGGCUAAUACCGGAUAGGAGCUCCUGCUGCAUGUGGGGGUUGGAAAGUUUCGGCGGUUGGGGAUGGACUCGCGGCUUAUCAGCUUGUUGGUGGGGUAGUGGCUUACCAAGGCUUUGACGGGUAGCCGGCCUGAGAGGGUGACCGGCCACAUUGGGACUGAGAUACGGCACAGACUCCUACGGGAGGCAGCAGUGGGGAAUAUUGCACAAUGGGCGGAAGCCUGAUGCAGCAACGCCGCGUGCGGGAUGACGGCCUUCGGGUUGUAUACCGCUUUCGCCUGUGACGAAGCGUGAGUGACGGUAAUGGGUAAAGAAGCACCGGCUAACUACGUG